CCUGUGCCUAUUUCAUCAUGCCUUUGGCUGCUCUAAAUCUCAGUUUUUAAGUUCAACCUAAGCAUGUCUUUACCUAAGCCCGUCUCCUCAUAUUCCAAAAUUGCUCUUCUGCUUUCUAAGUUUCUGCUAUCAAAGUGCUCAUUACUCUGGGGAUACCUCAACUGGAGUUUAGGAGGGAAGUAAUUUAAGCAACUGCACACUCUCCAUAAAGGACUUAAUUGUUAAACUAAUUUUGUUAGUUAUUUACCUUUCAAAAUGGUCUUGUUAACCAAAGUGAAUCUUGAUGUGGUGGAAUUUCACACCUGAGAAGUAAGAAUGAGACAUAGUUAGGCAAUGCAAAGAAUAGAUGUUUAAGAGUGGGAUUCUCUCCAUGUUUAUCAUGUGUGCUUUACGUGAGGUUAGAUAACUGCAAAUAUUGAUCAAACUGUUCAUAAUGUUAUCAUCACUGCCCUGUGGAAUAUCUAUCAAUACAAUAAUUUUGAGAUGACAUAGAU
RNAcentral lists this long non-coding RNA (494 nucleotides) under Bos taurus (domestic cattle). Its description in RNAcentral is "long non-coding RNA NONBTAT024099". Lineage: Eukaryota; Metazoa; Chordata; Mammalia; Artiodactyla; Bovidae. The record is from RNAcentral.